GCGGACUACACGGGUAUCUAAUCCUGUUUGCUACCCAUGCUUUCGAGCCUCAGCGUCAGUUGGUGCCCAGUAGGUCGCCUUCGCCACUGGUGUUCCUCCCGAUAUCUACGCAUUCCACCGCUACACCGGGAAUUCCACCUACCUCUGCACUACUCAAGGCCAGCAGUUUUGAAAGCAAUUUAUGGGUUGAGCCCAUAGUUUUCACUUCCAACUUGCCGGUCCGCCUGCGCUCCCUUUACACCCAGUAAUUCCGGACAACGCUUGCACCCUACGUAUUACCGCGGCUGCUGGCACGUAGUUAGCCGGUGCUUAUUCUUCAGGUACCGUCAUUUUCUUCCCUGCUGAUAGAAGUUUACAUACCGAGAUACUUCUUCCUUCACGCGGCGUCGCUGCAUCAGGG
RNAcentral lists this unclassified non-coding RNA (400 nucleotides) under uncultured Eubacteriales bacterium. RNAcentral's name for it is "contains 16S-23S intergenic spacer region". The record is from RNAcentral. Lineage: Bacteria; Bacillati; Bacillota; Clostridia; Eubacteriales.